ACCAGGUGGACAGGACUAAAUGACAUGGCUCUAAAUAACCUGGCUUACACCUCUCUUUUUUUGGUCACGGAAAAGGGGAGCGUUCAGCGUUGGGUCGCAUGGAAAAGGAAAAGAAGGGUGUCGAUCCCAAUCGCAGCGGCGGCGGGAGGGGACACGAGCACGGGAGAGGAGAGGGCCGGGCUCGAGGUGACGGAGGUCGGAUGCGAUCGCGAGGCAGGGAAGGAGGAGCAACCGCGAGUUAGCCUGCUCGCACUCGACGUCGUUUGCCGUCGCCUCCCUUUGCACCUACUCCUCUAGUUCGGUUCGGCCUCCCCUGUUGACCACGUGCUCGAGCGUGACGGGACCGCGGCUAGAGCGCGGCCAGGAUGCGGGACGGUGGGAGAGAGCCCUGCGGUACCUCUAGUUGUUCCACGCGGGGGUGGGGGGAGGGAGACAGCCCCAUACCAUCCAAGCAUGACUGGCGGAGGCCGAGCUCGUUCCUAGACGACGUGGAGGCCGGGGAAAACGAACGUCUAACUCCUCUUCUCUUGUGUACAUCUAUCAAGUAGUUUCAAGGAAUUGACGCCGACUAGAAGAAGCAGUCCACUUACAUGACGUCUAAAUCAUGUAUCUCGAAAAAAAGGAAGAGAUUCUAUGUCAUAUGACGAUUAAAACUACCAAACAACUUAAUAGAAGAACAUUAUAUACUCGCGGGCGUUACCGGUGGAGCCGUGUUCCUUGUGUCCAACGUCUCUAUCUGCACGCCCGACGUCUCUCCCGGCGGGUGCUGUACCAGCGAUGGCAAGCAGAUAGCGUGCCGUUGCCGUCCAGCUGGGGUGGUAGAGACGGGGAAAAACUACCGCCGAGACCUCCUGGCUCCUUAACUCCAACGGGGAAAGCAGACAAGUGUAGGAGGCAAUCAAAAUCUAAAAACUUCUAAAUACGCUACCUUAGUACUAUACAUUGUACAGAAGAGGACUUCUCCAGGCGAAUAAUGAACUACUGUGACAACGGCCUUUGUGCCGGUUCCAUCGACACGAGGAGUACUACCUCGUCGCGGACCCUGUAAAAGAACCCUCCAACUUCGGCCUUUCCCUCCUCCUUCUACCGUCGGCGGGGCGGCGGGUUCCGGCUGCUCGACGUCGGCGUAGGCGAGUUCCUCGUCGACGGGUCGCACAGAAAGACGUAGUGGUCGAGUGACGGUACCGCAUGGCACGAGACGAAGUGGGGCGGAGUCCCCGGAGAACUAAACGAGAAACUUUCAAAGGGAGAAUGUAAGGCACGAACAGGAAGUGACAGGAGUCAAAAACGAGGAUGAACAACAAAGUACAGGUCCGAAAGAAAGGGUGACGUAGUACACACGACUAAUGACUGGAUAAAAACAACAACAGCUACGUGUAGUCAGAAGUAUAAAAGUCAUCUCUUUCAAAAAACAACCUUUGUUUAAGAAAACGAAUUGGUCACACCUUCCAAGUAACUAGAACUUAAAUAAAUAUUACUUUUCCGGAAGUCGACGUGUACAAAAAUACGUUAACUAUCAUACAUGAUGAGUAUAAUUAGUUUAUCGUAUAUUCAACUACAAGACACGAACAUUAGAACCCGCCUUGGUUCCGGCACUAUGAUCCUAAAGUUGUAAAGUAUCAGUACAACCCGUGGUCGUAGUAGUAUGGUUGCUACGAACAAGGAGUUUACCCUCCACCUUUACUCCUCUUUCGAGCCCAUUAGAUCUGCGAGUACAAGCAGCAGCCGUAUUUGUGGAAUGACGUUUGGAAGAACCCCAGAACAGAGGUGCAGCACUACCCACCGAGGUUGUGAAAGUAACACGGUUGGUAGAGGUAGUAGAACCGGCCUACGACUCCGUUACUCCGUCUAGGAGUGCUCUUUUAAGGAUGCCUGCUACUCCCCCUGUGUUUCGCGAGAGUAUUAGCGCUACUACUAAGUUUAGUAGGUACCAAAGUCACCAGAGACCGCGUUACAACAGGGGGUAAUAGGCGCCAAGGAGAACAAAGUGAGUAACCUAAACCCGAAAUACUUGAACCGAAAGGUCCGAAAGUGGUGGCAACUCAAAGUACACUUGUUAGACAAAACAAUAAAAAUAUUUUGUUAUAGUACGGAGUAAAAGGUAAACUAAAUCAAUAAAGUUGAAGUUGAAACUCACAUAAUCUAUACGUGACUUAUCUUUCAUAUAAUGGAAUAGACUCAACAACGACGGUGACUCCACAAUUUUCACGUAUAAGUAUCGUAGAAGGAACCGUGCUAAUUAACGGUGGCCAAAUGUAAGCAUAGAAAGUUGUAAAUCAAGUCCUCGAACUACUUAAAAGGUACAGGACUUUAGUAUAUAUAAAAAAUUGUACUUAAAACAGAGGUGUUUCUUGUCACACCAUUCGAGAUAUUGUCAGUAAGUCUGUAGUUUAAUACUUGAGAGUAUAAACUAACGAACCUUUUGUCAAGUUUCGUAUCGGUCCUUUACGACCGCUGGCCUUAUAACACUAUGAUACCUACGAUAGUUCGUACGAAAACCCCCGAAUGGCGUCUAGUAGACGUUCUUCCCAAGUCAAGUUCUUGAUUAAUUCCAAUUCGAAGUUGUUACUAAACUUCCUAGGAGCACUGGUGCCGAUCCUUGGAGAUCUCAUGUAGUAGACGCGGAGCCCACCGAUGUCUACGACGUCGGCCAAGUUGGAUACCGGUAGUAUUUCUUGUCCUUCCUGAACAUUACAUCACCUUCCUCGUACAGGACGUCCUCUACCUGUCGCUCCGGCGACUGUUCCAGAGACUUGCUGCGCGAUCGCCACCACCGCCGUCGCUGGUUCCGGCAACUGCUCUUCUAGCGCUACCUCCUCUUCAAAACCUUGACCUUCUACCUCUAACAAUCCUCCUUCGUGUUGGUGUAGAACAGGGACAAGUUGGAUGUGUUCCACAACCACCUCUUCUUCGUCCCUUCGACGAGCGACUCUUCUGGUGCGUUGUCUUCUGGGGGUGGCGACGGCCACAAUAGAGAUCGUGCUCGACUGGUGUAGCCCGCAAUCAACCUAGUAUCUUACAUAGUACAGUAGUCUAUGUAUGUCAUAUAGUAGUCAACGUACAUGUAAGUUCUCCGAGAGUAAUAAACUUACGUCGACACGAUGUGUUUAACGACUUUUCUUUAGUCUUUCACACACACACGGAUGGACCGUGGCGUGUUGGUGGAGAGUCCGCCGCGCGGUGCCUGCGCGGGGUUGGUGAUAGAUAUCUUAAUAUCUAUGUAUAUACGGGGUACUCUCCAGCUCCGUUG
Molecule: ribosomal RNA, 3250 nt
Filed under: Triticum aestivum (bread wheat)
Lineage: Eukaryota; Viridiplantae; Streptophyta; Magnoliopsida; Poales; Poaceae
Description: partial small subunit ribosomal RNA
Source: RNAcentral